UGGCAAGUCUUCCAGUAUGGGGAGCAAAACAGCUAUGGGUCAAGUCCGAUAUCUUUAGGAGAAGUCUUAUUGUGAGGGCGAGUUAUAUAACACCAUAGGACUGGCCGUCCCAUAUGAAAAGAUUAUAUUAGAAUUGAAUGAAGCUUUGUUUAUAUAUUGAUAAUGACAGUAUAUAUAUCGUGUCUUGACUAAUUGCGUGCCAGCAGUCGCGGUAAUACGUAAGAGACUAGUGUUAUUCAUCUUAAUUAGGUUUAAAGGGUACCCAGACGGUCAAUAUAGCUUAUAAAAUGUUAGUACUUGACUAGAGUUUUAUGUAAGAGGGCAGUACUUGAGGAGGAGAGAUGAAAUUUCGUGAUACCAAAGGGACUCUGUAAAGGCGAAGGCAGCCCUCUAUGUAAAAACUGACGUUGAAGGACGAAGGCACAGAGAACAAACAGGAUUAGAUACCCAAGUAGUCUUUGCAGUAAAUGAUGAAUGCCAUAGGUUAGAUUGAUCAAUUAUAGUCUAGGGUUAGUCUAGCAAACUAAUGCCCUAUGAUAUAAUUCAAAAUAUCUGGUCUAUAAAUGAAAGUGUAAGCAUUUCACCUCAAGAGUAAUGUGGCAACGCAGGAAC
This 612-nucleotide ribosomal RNA is filed under the name Fusarium oxysporum. Its description in RNAcentral is "SSU rRNA". It matches the Rfam family "Bacterial small subunit ribosomal RNA", at positions 355 to 900 of the family's 1533-position model. The record is from RNAcentral. Lineage: Eukaryota; Fungi; Ascomycota; Sordariomycetes; Hypocreales; Nectriaceae.